Molecule: ribosomal RNA, 848 nt
Filed under: Escherichia coli
Lineage: Bacteria; Pseudomonadati; Pseudomonadota; Gammaproteobacteria; Enterobacterales; Enterobacteriaceae
Description: partial 23S ribosomal RNA
Rfam family: Bacterial large subunit ribosomal RNA
Source: RNAcentral
GGGUUGUGAGGUUAAGCGACUAAGCGUACACGGUGGAUGCCCUGGCAGUCAGAGGCGAUGAAGGACGUGCUAAUCUGCGAUAAGCGUCGGUAAGGUGAUAUGAACCGUUAUAACCGGCGAUUUCCGAAUGGGGAAACCCAGUGUGUUUCGACACACUAUCAUUAACUGAAUCCAUAGGUUAAUGAGGCGAACCGGGGGAACUGAAACAUCUAAGUACCCCGAGGAAAAGAAAUCAACCGAGAUUCCCCCAGUAGCGGCGAGCGAACGGGGAGGAGCCCAGAGCCUGAAUCAGUGUGUGUGUUAGUGGAAGCGUCUGGAAAGGCGCGCGAUACAGGGUGACAGCCCCGUACACAAAAAUGCACAUGCUGUGAGCUCGAUGAGUAGGGCGGGACACGUGGUAUCCUGUCUGAAUAUGGGGGGACCAUCCUCCAAGGCUAAAUACUCCUGACUGACCGAUAGUGAACCAGUACCGUGAGGGAAAGGCGAAAAGAACCCCGGCGAGGGGAGUGAAAAAGAACCUGAAACCGUGUACGUACAAGCAGUGGGAGCAUGCUUAGGCGUGUGACUGCGUACCUUUUGUAUAAUGGGUCAGCGACUUAUAUUCUGUAGCAAGGUUAACCGAAUAGGGGAGCCGAAGGGAAACCGAGUCUUAACUGGGCGUUAAGUUGCAGGGUAUAGACCCGAAACCCGGUGAUCUAGCCAUGGGCAGGUUGAAGGUUGGGUAACACUAACUGGAGGACCGAACCGACUAAUGUUGAAAAAUUAGCGGAUGACUUGUGGCUGGGGGUGAAAGGCCAAUCAAACCGGGAGAUAGCUGGUUCUCCCCGAAAGCUAUUUAGGUAGCGCCU